AAAGCAAGCAAUCCAGCCGUUGCGUUCAGUCAUUUGAACAGGAAUCUAAUGGCUGUCAAUAGAUGGCUGUCAAAAGUUGAAUGUCCACCAGAUAGCGCGAGUGUCUUCAGGGACGCAUUUCGGCCAUUUUGUUCCAAGAAGCAGCAGAAAUGGGUUGCUGGUCGUGACGUUUCUCACGAUGAAAAUUAAAAGGUUAUUUAUCACGUAGAAACCAAUUUGCCAAAUCAUUCAUCUCAGAGUUGGAAUUUGGAAUUGCCUGUACAUUGCCGAAAUGGCGUGCCUCGUGUGUCUCGCUGCCUGUUCUUAGGCGUACGUCUCAUCCCAUGCAACAGUAAAAAGUAUAAAAAACACUUUAACGCUGUUGGCCACCUUGUUGCAGCCAAAUGGUGAAAGGUGUGACGAAGACAGAUUAAUCCGGUGUAUGCAGCAUGAGGUUGCAGUGUAAUCCAGAAGUAGCUGCGCUGGUGUUACCCUGAAAUUGCUGUGCUGAGCUAGCUGCUGAGCUGUUCCAUCUUGAUUCCUGACUUGAAAAUUUUGUGUUGUUUGCCUGCCAGUAUUUUGUGUUGUGACUUCAAAUAGUUUGAUCUGUCGUCUUUUGAGUUUUCAUUCAAU
This is a long non-coding RNA of Daphnia pulex (common water flea), 612 nucleotides long. RefSeq lists it as uncharacterized. The record is from RefSeq and is a predicted model, not a curated record. NCBI's taxonomy places the organism in Eukaryota, Metazoa, Arthropoda, Branchiopoda, Diplostraca, Daphniidae. The transcript has 3 exons.